CUCUAAUCAAACGGCCUUAGGUCUGUAAGAGAGAAAAACAGUUUCCCUCUGCCCUCCUGAGAUCUUAGCUGGGGCUCUGGUAACAAAGACUAUGAGCAAGAGAAAGCAGCCCGAGUUUGUCACCAGGUAGAUUUCACGUACAGAGGGAGAGAGCAAGGCAAUGAGGAACUCUCCAUGAGGUGGCUUAGGACUCGGGUUAGACGGCAUCCUCAACAAGGCGGUCAGGUUUGGGAGAAGGUCAAGGUAAAAGAAGAGAAGUUUAGGGUGCCCGGGGGGGGGGCAAUGUGUGGGAAGGCAAAUAGACAGGAAAUGCUUGGUGGUUAGAGUGUGUUCCUGCUCCAGGCUGAAGAGGAUCUGAGUUGUCCUCAGUGAUCAACUGUUGUCCUUCCUGGUAGAGAGGAGAGGAGGACCCCCCUGUACAUGUGUGUCUGCAUAUAUUAUUUAAAAGGAAGGAAGGAAGGAAUCCUGUCAUUUGUGGCAACAUGGUGAACCUGGAAGAUGUUAUGGUAUGAAACAAGCCAGGCCCAGAGAGACGAACGCUCUGUGAUCUCCUUUACUUAGAGCAUAACGGAGGUCACUCCAGAGGCCAGAGGAGGGGAGGGGCACUGGAGAGAAGUGGU
RNAcentral lists this long non-coding RNA (620 nucleotides) under Marmota monax (woodchuck). Lineage: Eukaryota; Metazoa; Chordata; Mammalia; Rodentia; Sciuridae. The record is from RNAcentral.